UUUUUUUUUUAAUUUGUUCGUUUUAAUUAUAAAUGUACUUCUUUUUUGCUCUCAAUAAAUUCAGUCUUGGGCUGGGGUUGUGGCUCAGCAGUAGAGUGCUCGCCUCACAUGUGCGAGAUCCUGGGUUCUAUCCUCAGCACCACAUAAAAAUAAAUAAGUGAAAUAAAGGUAUUGUGUCCAACUACAAUAGAUAGAUAGAUAGAUAGAUAGAUAGAUAGAUAGAUAGAUAGAUAAAAUCAGUCUGCUUUGCUUUGGCCCAUCCUCAAAUUCCUUUUUGUGACCACAUCAAGGACCCUCCUGGCCUGAGUUAAGGUCCACCUGCCUUUGGGGGACCUCCACAGGACCCCUGUCCUGGUGACAGCCCCGUUUGUGGUAAUGGCAGCCCAGGAAACCAGUGUUCCUUCUGUGGAGCACACACAGCUCAUGGCCACUUGGCCCAGGGAGGAGCAUGUAUCCUGCAGGCUUCGCCCACCCCCACCUUGCACCUGGAAUGCCAGCCCAGGACUGUGUUCAACAGCACAGCAACAUUUACAGGAAGCAGAGCAGCCAGGCAGGGGCCUGUGGAGAAGACUGGCCAGGAGGGCCAGGACUGGAGCCGAGGUCUGGAACCUUGCAGAGUUCUGAGCCCUGGAAAUACUCUGUACUGUCUCUUGGGCAUCCCCCUCCCCAGGGAUCACCAGGGGCCCAAGAGGAGAGGACAGAAGUGGAGAUCUUCCUGCAUCCUAUAAUCUGGCUCCUCUCCAGGGCACCAUCCUGGUGAAGGGGGUCUCUGCCGAGGCAGCCUAGCGGGGGCCUGAGUGGGGUGCCUUAUACCCACCUCUCAGGAAGCCCAGCUCAGCCUGGCCUUUGAACUGCCUGCCCUGCCUGAUGCAGAUUUCUGUCCUGUUGCUCUUUCUUCCCUGCCCAGCCUGGCUGGGCAGUCUGUGGCCCCUCAUAGCCUGGGUGCUGGCCAGCUCCACUUUCCUUGAGUGACUGGCAAGUACAACAGGGCCUGGCGGGACUCAUCAUCAGACAGGCAACAGGGUAUCUCCACAGAUUCAAAUUACAAAGGAAAGAAUGGUAACUUACAGUGGAGAAACGUAGCAGAUUCCACCUUAACCAAAGGAUGGACACGUCCCAAUAAUGAGACAAACUAAUCCGUGUCCCUCCUGACACAGGGCACUGAGAAGUGUGGCAUCGUUUCUGCAGCAAGUAACUAGUGUGCUUGCAGAGGAGCUAGUGAGGAAGUGGUCCAGAUUAAAGACACCAAAGUCACAUGGCAGCCAGGUGCACUGGAAGGGAAACACUGCUAUAAAGGACAUGUUGGUCAGUCAGGGAAGUCUGAGCAUGCACCAUGUAUUAGAGGAUAAUAUCAAUCCAUGUUAAUUCUCCUUCAUUUGAUCAUUGGGUAGGAAAAUAUGCGCAUCUUUAGGUGAAGAAUGCUAUUGUGGAGGAGAUACAAUACAGUGUCUGCAAUCUCAAAUGGCUCAAAAUGGUAACAACAAUGAGGUCUAUCUGUCUACCUACCUAUCAAUGUUGAGCAAAUGUGGCAAAUGUCAGUAACUGGUAAUCUAACAGCUGGAUGCUUGGUGAAGAAUAGAUGUACUGGAGUUAAUUGUA
RNAcentral lists this long non-coding RNA (1599 nucleotides) under Marmota monax (woodchuck). Lineage: Eukaryota; Metazoa; Chordata; Mammalia; Rodentia; Sciuridae. The record is from RNAcentral.